Molecule: microRNA precursor, 94 nt
Filed under: Ricinus communis (castor bean)
Lineage: Eukaryota; Viridiplantae; Streptophyta; Magnoliopsida; Malpighiales; Euphorbiaceae
Description: miR156c stem-loop (rco-MIR156c)
Gene: rco-MIR156c
Rfam family: mir-156 microRNA precursor family (bases 5-88)
About the family: This family represents the plant microRNA (miRNA) precursor mir-156. Animal miRNAs are transcribed as ~70nt precursors and subsequently processed by the Dicer enzyme to give a ~22nt product.
Source: miRBase by way of RNAcentral
GGAGGUGACAGAAGAGAGUGAGCACACAUGGUACUUUCCUGCAUGAAUUCAUGCUCGAAGCCUUGCGUGCUUACUCUCUAUCUGUCACCCCGCC